AAAGGAAUAGACGGGGGCCCGCACAAGCAGCGGAGCAUGUGGUUUAAUUCGAAGCAACGCGAAGAACCUUACCAAGGCUUGACAUCCUCUGACCGCCGUAGAGAUACGGCUUCCCUUCGGGGCAGAGAGACAGGUGGUGCAUGGUUGUCGUCAGCUCGUGUCGUGAGAUGUUGGGUUAAGUCCCGCAACGAGCGCAACCCUUAUCAUUAGUUGCCAACGCGUAGAGGCGGGAACUCUAAUGAGACUGCCGGGGACAACUCGGAGGAAGGUGGGGACGACGUCAAAUCAUCAUGCCCCUUAUGUCUUGGGCUACACACGUGCUACAAUGGCCGGUACAAAGAGCUGCGAAGCCGCAAGGUGAAGCGAAUCUCAAAAAGCCGGCCCCAGUUCGGAUCGUGGGCUGCAACCCGCCCACGUGAAGUCGGAGUUGCUAGUAAUCGCGAAUCAGCAUGUCGCGGUGAAUGCGUUCCCGGGCCUUGUACACACCGCCCGU
This 493-nucleotide ribosomal RNA is filed under the name uncultured bacterium. Its description in RNAcentral is "bacterial SSU rRNA". It matches the Rfam family "Bacterial small subunit ribosomal RNA", at positions 903 to 1397 of the family's 1533-position model. The record is from RNAcentral.